CCCUUAGAUGUCCUGGGCCGCACGCGCGCUACACUGAUGCAUGCAACGAGUUUAUAACCUUGGCCUGAAAGGUCUGGGUAAUCUUUUGAACGUGCAUCGUGAUAGGGAUAGAUUAUUGCAAUUGUUAAUCUUGAACGAGGAAUUCCUAGUAAACGCGAGUCAUCAGCUCGCAUUGAUUACGUCCCUGCCCUUUGUACACACCGCCCGUCGCACCUACCGAUUGAAUGGUUCGGUGAAGAUCUCGGACUUCGAUAUUUAUUCUUUAUUGAGUUUAUAUUGUGGGAAGUUAUCUAAACCUCAUCAUUUAGAGGAAGGUAAAGUCGUAACA
Molecule: ribosomal RNA, 328 nt
Filed under: uncultured eukaryote
Lineage: Eukaryota
Description: partial 18S ribosomal RNA
Rfam family: Eukaryotic small subunit ribosomal RNA
Source: RNAcentral